AAUUUCUGCCUCAUUUGAUAUAAUUUAUAAAGAAUAAUUGGUCUUUUGUACUGUUUUUGUCCAGAAAUUGAUAGUUUUUCAGUGUCAUUUAUGCAGGCUCCUUACAGUUCGGCAUUGUCUGUCAGGAGGGUUGGGGUAGUUGUAUCAGGAUAAAGCUGUCAAGUGAGAUGAUGGAUUAAAGGAGGUGAUGCUGAAAUUACAGGGUUAAAACAGUAACCAGUAGUGCUGAAUGAAAGAAAGUCUGCAAGGCGUUUCAAGUUUUUUUGCAUUAAUGUGUCGGAGAGCGGAUGUUCUUUAUCCCAGAAUCCUAUGUAUUGUUGAGUGAUUAUUGAAAGAAAUUCAGAUGCUGAUGCAAAUAGUACUCUCAACAAAGGAUGACCAAUAUUUUAUUAUGGAUUAUUUA
This is a long non-coding RNA of Saccostrea cuccullata (small rock oyster), 403 nucleotides long. RefSeq lists it as uncharacterized. The record is from RefSeq and is a predicted model, not a curated record. Lineage: Eukaryota; Metazoa; Mollusca; Bivalvia; Ostreida; Ostreidae. The transcript has 3 exons.